GGUUGGAGCCAGGGAGCUCUGAGCCCGCCCCUCAGAGGGUCAGGCGGCGACCCGGAAGUAUAAAAGCUCACCCUCAGAGCUCACUGAGGGCCCAGAUGCCGAGGAGGCCAGAUGCCUCAAGCCUAGCCCAUGACUGGGAAGCCCCUGCAGCCUAAGGUGCAUGCCAGGAGUUGCCGGACCUGCCCUGCAGCCGCUACCUGGAGGAGUUGCCGGGCCUGCUGCUUGCCUGCUACCCUGAGGAACCCAUGGUGCUGGACGCCCCAGAAGACACUGCUUGGACCCAGAAAUAAAGAUUCAGCUCCUCCUUCUCCUCUGGCAUAUCCCUCCUUGAGACCCACUUCUGCUGUGAUGCUUUGAGUGAUGUACAUUAUGGGCAAGA
Chelonia mydas (Green sea turtle) is the source of this 379-nucleotide long non-coding RNA. RefSeq lists it as uncharacterized. The record is from RefSeq and is a predicted model, not a curated record. NCBI's taxonomy places the organism in Eukaryota, Metazoa, Chordata, Testudines, Cheloniidae. The transcript has 3 exons.